UUAAGCGACUAAGCGUACACGGUGGAUGCCCUGGCAGUCAGAGGCGAUGAAGGACGUGCUAAUCUGCGAUAAGCGUCGGUAAGGUGAUAUGAACCGUUAUAACCGGCGAUUUCCGAAUGGGGAAACCCAGUGUGAUUCGUCACACUAUCAUUAACUGAAUCCAUAGGUUAAUGAGGCGAACCGGGGGAACUGAAACAUCUAAGUACCCCGAGGAAAAGAAAUCAACCGAGAUUCCCCCAGUAGCGGCGAGCGAACGGGGAGCAGCCCAGAGCCUGAAUCAGUGUGUGUGUUAGUGGAAGCGUCUGGAAAGGCGCGCGAUACAGGGUGACAGCCCCGUACACAAAAAUGCACAUGCUGUGAGCUCGAUGAGUAGGGCGGGACACGUGGUAUCCUGUCUGAAUAUGGGGGGACCAUCCUCCAAGGCUAAAUACUCCUGACUGACCGAUAGUGAACCAGUACCGUGAGGGAAAGGCGAAAAGAACCCCGGCGAGGGGAGUGAAAAAGAACCUGAAACCGUGUACGUACAAGCAGUGGGAGCACAGAGCAAUCUGUGUGACUGCGUACCUUUUGUAUAAUGGGUCAGCGACUUAUAUUCUGUAGCAAGGUUAACCGAAUAGGGGAGCCGAAGGGAAACCGAGUCUUAACUGGGCGUUAAGUUGCAGGGUAUAGACCCGAAACCCGGUGAUCUAGCCAUGGCAGGUUGAAGGUUGGGUAACACUAACUGGAGGACCGAACCGACUAAUGUUGAAAAAUUAGCGGAUGACUUGUGGCUGGGGGUGAAAGGCCAAUCAAACCGGGAGAUAGCUGGUUCUCCCCGAAAGCUAUUUAGGUAGCGCCUCGUGAAUUCAUCUCCGGGGGUAGAGCACUGUUUCGGCAAGGGGGUCAUCCCGACUUACCAACCCGAUGCAAACUGCGAAUACCGGAGAAUGUUAUCACGGGAGACACACGGCGGGUGCUAACGUCCGUCGUGAAGAGGGAAACAACCCAGACCGCCAGCUAAGGUCCCAAAGUCAUGGUUAAGUGGGAAACGAUGUGGGAAGGCCCAGACAGCCAGGAUGUUGGCUUAGAAGCAGCCAUCAUUUAAAGAAAGCGUAAUAGCUCACUGGUCGAGUCGGCCUGCGCGGAAGAUGUAACGGGGCUAAACCAUGCACCGAAGCUGCGGCAGCGACGCUGAUGCGUUGUUGGGUAGGGGAGCGUUCUGUAAGCCUGCGAAGGUGUGCUGUGAGGCAUGCUGGAGGUAUCAGAAGUGCGAAUGCUGACAUAAGUAACGAUAAAGCGGGUGAAAAGCCCGCUCGCCGGAAGACCAAGGGUUCCUGUCCAACGUUAAUCGGGGCAGGGUGAGUCGACCCCUAAGGCGAGGCCGAAAGGCGUAGUCGAUGGGAAACAGGUUAAUAUUCCUGUACUUGGUGUUACUGCGAAGGGGGGACGGAGAAGGCUAUGUUGGCCGGGCGACGGUUGUCCCGGUUUAAGCGUGUAGGCUGGUUUUCCAGGCAAAUCCGGAAAAUCAAGGCUGAGGCGUGAUGACGAGGCACUACGGUGCUGAAGCAACAAAUGCCCUGCUUCCAGGAAAAGCCCCUAAGCAUCAGGUAACAUCAAAUCGUACCCCAAACCGACACAGGUGGUCAGGUAGAGAAUACCAAGGCGCUUGAGAGAACUCGGGUGAAGGAACUAGGCAAAAUGGUGCCGUAACUUCGGGAGAAGGCACGCUGAUAUGUAGGUGAAGUCCCUCGCGGAUGGAGCUGAAAUCAGUCGAAGAUACCAGCUGGCUGCAACUGUUUAUUAAAAACACAGCACUGUGCAAACACGAAAGUGGACGUAUACGGUGUGACGCCUGCCCGGUGCCGGAAGGUUAAUUGAUGGGGUCAGCGCAAGCGAAGCUCUUGAUCGAAGCCCCGGUAAACGGCGGCCGUAACUAUAACGGUCCUAAGGUAGCGAAAUUCCUUGUCGGGUAAGUUCCGACCUGCACGAAUGGCGUAAUGAUGGCCAGGCUGUCUCCACCCGAGACUCAGUGAAAUUGAACUCGCUGUGAAGAUGCAGUGUACCCGCGGCAAGACGGAAAGACCCCGUGAACCUUUACUAUAGCUUGACACUGAACAUUGAGCCUUGAUGUGUAGGAUAGGUGGGAGGCUUUGAAGUGUGGACGCCAGUCUGCAUGGAGCCGGCCUUGAAAUACCACCCUUUAAUGUUUGAUGUUCUAACGUUGACCCGUAUCCGGGUUGCGGACAGUGUCUGGUGGGUAGUUUGACUGGGGCGGUCUCCUCCUAAAGAGUAACGGAGGAGCACGAAGGUUGGCUAAUCCUGGUCGGACAUCAGGAGGUUAGUGCAAUGGCAUAAGCCAGCUUGACUGCGAGCGUGACGGCGCGAGCAGGUGCGAAAGCAGGUCAUAGUGAUCCGGUGGUUCUGAAUGGAAGGGCCAUCGCUCAACGGAUAAAAGGUACUCCGGGGAUAACAGGCUGAUACCGCCCAAGAGUUCAUAUCGACGGCGGUGUUUGGCACCUCGAUGUCGGCUCAUCACAUCCUGGGGCUGAAGUAGGUCCCAAGGGUAUGGCUGUUCGCCAUUUAAAGUGGUACGCGAGCUGGGUUUAGAACGUCGUGAGACAGUUCGGUCCCUAUCUGCCGUGGGCGCUGGAGAACUGAGGGGGGCUGCUCCUAGUACGAGAGGACCGGAGUGGACGCAUCACUGGUGUUCGGGUUGUCAUGCCAAUGGCACUGCCCGGUAGCUAAAUGCGGAAGAGAUAAGUGCUGAAAGCAUCUAAGCACGAAACUUGCCCCGAGAUGAGUUCUCCCUGACUCCUUGAGAGUCCUGAAGGAACGUUGAAGACGACGACGUUGAUAGGCCGGGUGUGUAAGCGCAGCGAUGCGUUGAGCUAACCGGUACUAAUGAACCGUGAGGCUUAACCUU
RNAcentral lists this ribosomal RNA (2902 nucleotides) under Escherichia coli DEC12C. RNAcentral's name for it is "bacterial LSU rRNA". It matches the Rfam family "Bacterial large subunit ribosomal RNA". The record is from RNAcentral. Lineage: Bacteria; Pseudomonadati; Pseudomonadota; Gammaproteobacteria; Enterobacterales; Enterobacteriaceae.